Long non-coding RNA from Scleropages formosus (Asian bonytongue), 128 nucleotides. RefSeq lists it as uncharacterized. The record is from RefSeq and is a predicted model, not a curated record. The transcript is spliced from 3 exons. Lineage: Eukaryota; Metazoa; Chordata; Actinopteri; Osteoglossiformes; Osteoglossidae.
GUGUGUGUAGGAGUGUGUGUCGCUAUAGUAAUAAUACUGAUCUACAAGAGGACACCAGAUAAUAACUUGUCAUCCAGUCAAGUUAAAGUGUCUGAUGCAGACAGUGUAACGUACGCUGUGGUCGACCU